Molecule: ribosomal RNA, 253 nt
Filed under: uncultured bacterium
Lineage: Bacteria
Description: partial 16S ribosomal RNA
Rfam family: Bacterial small subunit ribosomal RNA
Source: RNAcentral
UACGGAGGGGACUAGCGUUAAUCGGAAUUACUGGGCGUAAAGCGCGCGUAGGCGGCUCGGUCAGUCGGGUGUGAAAUCCCUGGGCUCAACCUGGGAACUGCAUUCGAUACUGCUCGGCUCGAAGACAGGAGAGGGAAGUGGAAUUCCCGGUGUAGUGGUGAAAUGCGUAGAUAUCUGGAGGAACACCGGUGGCGAAGGCGGCAUCCUGGACCGGUAUUGACGCUGAGGCGCGAAAGCCAGGGGAGCAAACGGG